Molecule: microRNA precursor, 65 nt
Filed under: Octodon degus (degu)
Lineage: Eukaryota; Metazoa; Chordata; Mammalia; Rodentia; Octodontidae
Description: miRNA (ENSODEG00000022706.1)
Source: RNAcentral
GAGAUCCGUGCCCUGCAGUAGGCGGAGGUGUCCUGGCCCAAUGCCCUGAGCUGGCUCCACUGCAG